CGCGACAUGCUCUAGCUNUGGGGCUUUGACNUUUAGUGGCGCAGCUAAACGCGAUAAAGUAGACCGCCUGGGGAGUACGGUCGCAAGACUAAAACUCAAAUGAAUUGACGGGGGCCCGCACAAGCGGUGGAGCAUGUGGUUUAAUUCGAUGCAACGCGAAGAACCUUACCUGGCCUUGACAUACUAGAAACUUUCCAGAGAUGGAUUGGUGCCUUCGGGAAUCUAGAUACAGGUGCUGCAUGGCUGUCGUCAGCUCGUGUCGUGAGAUGUUGGGUUAAGUCCCGCAACGAGCGCAACCCUUUUCCUUACUUGCCAGCAUUUCGGAUGGGAACUUUAAGGAUACUGCCAGUGACAAACUGGAGGAAGGCGGGGACGACGUCAAGUCAUCAUGGCCCUUACGGCCAGGGCUACACACGUGCUACAAUGGUCGGUACAAAGGGUUGCUACACAGCGAUGUGAUGCUAAUCUCAAAAAGCCGAUCGUA
Molecule: ribosomal RNA, 484 nt
Filed under: uncultured bacterium
Lineage: Bacteria
Description: bacterial SSU rRNA
Rfam family: Bacterial small subunit ribosomal RNA
Source: RNAcentral